RNAcentral lists this ribosomal RNA (450 nucleotides) under uncultured bacterium. RNAcentral describes it as "bacterial SSU rRNA". It matches the Rfam family "Bacterial small subunit ribosomal RNA", at positions 354 to 796 of the family's 1533-position model. The record is from RNAcentral.
GUGGGGAAUUUUGGACAAUGGGCGAAAGCCUGAUCCAGCCAUGCCGCGUGCAGGAUGAAGGCCUUCGGGUUGUAAACUGCUUUUGUACGGAACGAAAAGACUCCUUCUAAUAAAGGGGGUCCAUGACGGUACCGUAAGAAUAAGCACCGGCUAACUACGUGCCAGCAGCCGCGGUAAUACGUAGGGUGCAAGCGUUAAUCGGAAUUACUGGGCGUAAAGCGUGCGCAGGCGGUUAUAUAAGACAGAUGUGAAAUCCCCGGGCUCAACCUGGGAACUGCAUUUGUGACUGUAUAGCUAGAGUACGGUAGAGGGGGAUGGGAUUCCGCGUGUAGCAGUGAAAUGCGUAGAUAUGCGGAGGAACACCGAUGGCGAAGGCAAUCCCCUGGACCUGUACUGACGCUCAUGCACGAAAGCGUGGGGAGCAAACAGGAUUAGAUACCCGUGUAGUCC